Long non-coding RNA from Chlorocebus sabaeus (green monkey), 1143 nucleotides. RefSeq lists it as uncharacterized. The record is from RefSeq and is a predicted model, not a curated record. Lineage: Eukaryota; Metazoa; Chordata; Mammalia; Primates; Cercopithecidae.
ACCCAGAAGGACAAGUCUUGAAGUAGGAGGGUGGGGAGAACCAGAUGAACAAGGGAGGUAAAAACGUGAUCUAGGCAGGCAUCCGAGGGAGCAAUGGCACGAGUGAGCCUGGUACACUUUUGGGCAGGCAGAAGGAAGGCAGUUAGGCCAUUAGGAAAGCAGUAUGGGCAGUGAAUUCUACAAAGAAGGCUAUGGGAAAGACGCCUGGAAAGUACCCUUGGCUGUGUACAUUUGACUAAAGAGAGGACUAUAAAAUCAAAAACCAAUGAAAUAGUUUCCAGAACACAAAACUAUUAAGCUUAAGAAAAGGACAGAAGGAACUGAAAAGAGAGGAAAUGUGUUUUGGAGCAUCACAUUUCCACCUCAGAAGAAAUAAGGAAGGAAGGAGGAGGGUGUUCCCACAGCUCUUCAACCAGGCCAGCUCCUCAGCCUACAUCCCCAUCUCAUCAAGUACGAGGGAUUUUUUCAACUGGACCAACCAGAUGGUUUAACAGUGCACUCCCACACCAUUCAACUACGCAAGGGAGAUUCACUUAACAUAUGCAGUCAUAUAACACCUACUAACAUUUUCAAACAUUAAACCUUUAAAAAAGAGUCCUAAGAAAUAGAAGCAUGAAGAAUCAUCUCUCAAGUAGAUAGACACUACUUCAUGGUGUGGUAAUAUACGCAUAUAGAAGCUAGUAAACACCUCUAGGAGACGCAAAAGGAAUUAGAACCUCCACAAGGUGCAAGCAAAACCUUGAAGUGAGAAGAUCGAAUUUGGACACCAUUGAGGAGACUACUGCAGUCAUCCAAGCUCAAUAUGGUUGAGAAUAACCAAUGCGGACAGAUUUAAGAGACACUUAGAGUCUGCAGCCAACAGGGCUGAAUGAGCAGAAAGUUAUAAUUCAGAAGAUCAUAUAAAAUUGAACAGCUGCCACUACUGGCAGUAAGUCUACUGCCAUUUGGUAGAUAACCUUCUUAUCACACAGAAAAAUAUAAGUACUGACAAAUAGACCGCAAAGAAAAUGAGACCAUCAGCAAAGAAGAUAAAGAAGUUUGUACAAAGCACGUUUUUAUAAAUGGAUGGCUGUCCGGCAAAAAUAAAUUUCCUGUGGACAAGACCAAGAGCAAGGCAAGAGGAAAAUAAACAUGUUUAAACUA